AGUGAACGCUGGCGGUAGGCCUAACACAUGCAAGUCGAACGGCAGCACAGUAAGAGCUUGCUCUUACGGGUGGCGAGUGGCGGACGGGUGAGGAAUACAUCGGAAUCUACUUUUUCGUGGGGGAUAACGUAGGGAAACUUACGCUAAUACCGCAUACGACCUACGGGUGAAAGCAGGGGAUCUUCGGACCUUGCGCGAUUGAAUGAGCCGAUGUCGGAUUAGCUAGUUGGCGGGGUAAAGGCCCACCAAGGCGACGAUCCGUAGCUGGUCUGAGAGGAUGAUCAGCCACAAUGGAACUGAGACACGGUCCAGACUCCUACGGGAGGAAGCAGUGGGGAAUAUUGGACAAAGGGAGCAAUCCUGAUCCAGCCAUACCGCGUGGGUGAAGAAGGCCUUCGGGUUGUAAAGCCCUUUUGUUGGGAAAGAAAAGCAGCAGGUUAAUACCCCGCUGUUCUGACGGUACCCAAAGAAUAAGCACCGGCUAACUUCGUG
Molecule: ribosomal RNA, 492 nt
Filed under: uncultured bacterium
Lineage: Bacteria
Description: partial 16S ribosomal RNA
Rfam family: Bacterial small subunit ribosomal RNA
Source: RNAcentral